Molecule: ribosomal RNA, 753 nt
Filed under: Actinomyces graevenitzii
Lineage: Bacteria; Bacillati; Actinomycetota; Actinomycetes; Actinomycetales; Actinomycetaceae
Description: bacterial SSU rRNA
Rfam family: Bacterial small subunit ribosomal RNA
Source: RNAcentral
CCCUGGUAGUCCACGCCGUAAACGAUGAGCACUAGGUGUUGGGCCCGUUAGGGCUCAGUGCCGCAGUUAACGCAAUAAGUGCUCCGCCUGGGGAGUACGCUCGCAAGAGUAAAACUCAAAGGAAUUGACGGGGACCCGCACAAGCAGCGGAGCAUGUGGUUUAAUUCGAAGCAACGCGAAGAACCUUACCAGGGCUUGACAUCCUCUUGACAGAUCCUUAAUCGGAUCCUUCUUCGGACAAGAGAGACAGGUGGUGCAUGGUUGUCGUCAGCUCGUGUCGUGAGAUGUUGGGUUAAGUCCCGCAACGAGCGCAACCCUUGCCUUUAGUUGCCAGCAUUCAGUUGGGCACUCUAGAGAGACUGCCGGUGAUAAACCGGAGGAAGGUGGGGAUGACGUCAAAUCAUCAUGCCCCUUAUGGCCUGGGCUACACACGUACUACAAUGGCUGUUACAACGUGCAGCGACCUAGCGAUAGGAAGCGAAUCACUAAAAGACAGUCUCAGUUCGGAUUGAAGUCUGCAACUCGACUUCAUGAAGCUGGAAUCGCUAGUAAUCGCGGAUCAGAAUGCCGCGGUGAAUACGUUCUCGGGCCUUGUACACACCGCCCGUCAUACCAUGAGAGCUGGUAAUACCCGAAGCCGGUGGCCUAACCGCAAGGAAGGAGCCGUCGAAGGUAGGACUAGUGAUUGGGGUCAAGUCGUAACAAGGUAUCCCUACGAGAACGUGGGGAUGGAUCACCUCCUUUCUAAGGAGA